AUUUAAGAUAAAUUUCUUCUUAAAAUUUUUAUGGAUUAUAGAGCAUUGAGAGACCUUUAGGGCAUGUGAAAAUUAGGAAGAAAAAGUGUUGAAGUAUGGAGAUAUAAUAGACAAAAAAUAAAGUAUCUGGGUUAGAGCAAAGAGAAGAAGAAGAGGGUCUUCUUCUAGUGUUGCUGUGUUCACCUCUUUCCUUCCUCCAUCUAUGAGUUUUCUGAGAGUGUCUCAUAUCUAAAACU
RNAcentral lists this long non-coding RNA (236 nucleotides) under Elaeis guineensis (African oil palm). RNAcentral's name for it is "long non-coding RNA (EGUI_LNC072350)". Lineage: Eukaryota; Viridiplantae; Streptophyta; Magnoliopsida; Arecales; Arecaceae. The record is from RNAcentral.